Molecule: ribosomal RNA, 232 nt
Filed under: uncultured bacterium
Lineage: Bacteria
Description: partial 16S ribosomal RNA
Rfam family: Bacterial small subunit ribosomal RNA
Source: RNAcentral
CGGACGGGUGAGUAAUGUCUGGGAAACUGCCCGAUGAAGGGGGAUAACUACUGGAAACGGUAGCUAAUACCGCAUAACGUCGCAAGACCAAAGAGGGGGACCUUCGGGCCUCUUGCCAUCGGAUGUGCCCAGAUGGGAUUAGCUAGUAGGUGGGGUAACGGCUCACCUAGGCGACGAUCCCUAGCUGGUCUGAGAGGAUGAUCAGCCACACUGGGACUGAGACACGGUCCAG